AUGCUUGUUUCAGAAGCACAUAUACUAAAACUGGAAUGGUACAGAGAAAACUAGCACAGCUCCUUCACAAGGAUGAGACAAAUUAAUGAAGCAGUCCACGUUGGU
Molecule: small nuclear RNA, 105 nt
Organism: Acomys russatus (golden spiny mouse)
Lineage: Eukaryota; Metazoa; Chordata; Mammalia; Rodentia; Muridae
Source: RefSeq, a predicted model, not a curated record